UACAGAGGGUGCAAGCGUUAAUCGGAAUUACUGGGCGUAAAGCGUGCGUAGACGGUUGCGUAAGUCAGAUGUGAAAGCCCCGGGCUCAACCUGGGAAUUGCAUUUGAGACUGCGUAGCUAGGGUGCGGAAGAGGGAAGCGGAAUUUCCGGUGUAGCGGUGAAAUGCGUAGAUAUCGGAAGGAACACCAGUGGCGAAAGCGACUUCCUGGACCAAUACUGACGCUCAUGUGCGAAAGCGUGGGGAGCAAACAGG
RNAcentral lists this ribosomal RNA (253 nucleotides) under uncultured bacterium. RNAcentral describes it as "partial 16S ribosomal RNA". It matches the Rfam family "Bacterial small subunit ribosomal RNA", at positions 524 to 776 of the family's 1533-position model. The record is from RNAcentral.